UACAGAGGGGGCAAGCGUUAUUCGGAAUUAUUGGGCGUAAAGGGCGCGUAGGCGGUGUCUUAAGUGAGAUGUGUAAUCCCCGAGCUUAACUUGGGAACUGCAUCUCAGACUGGGGCGCUAGAGUACUGGAGAGGGUGGUAGAAUUCCACGUGUAGCGGUGAAAUGCGUAGAGAUGUGGAGGAAUACCAGUGGCGAAGGCGGCCACCUGGACAGUAACUGACGCUGAGGCGCGAAAGUGUGGGGAGCAAACAGG
Molecule: ribosomal RNA, 253 nt
Filed under: uncultured bacterium
Lineage: Bacteria
Also listed under: 1 other name
Description: partial 16S ribosomal RNA
Rfam family: Bacterial small subunit ribosomal RNA
Source: RNAcentral